GAUCUUGGCGCUUAGCGGUAAAGUUGCGCUGAGCAAUGGCUACGAUUCUUCUUUUGUGCACUUUUCCUACUUCUCCUGAGUCCAACUGCUUGCUACUUCAACUUCUUUCAUCCAAUUCCUAUUAAUUCCUGCCAAAACAAGGAAAACCAAGCAUAAAACCAAUAACACCACCUUCAACUCUCUUAUUCUCUAACUUAAGCAAAAAGCAUUCUUUCAAGCUAGUUUCUAAGUCAUAAAGGGUGUGUUUAGUGUCAAAAUUAAGUAUAAAAAUAACCAUAUUUCAACCAUUAUCAAAAUGCUAUCCUCAACCGCAACUAUCAUUUGAAUCCUCCUCCUCUUCAUCAUCUUCCUCUUCCUCUUGUUCCUCAACAUCUUCAUCAUCAUCAUCAUCGUCCAUGGUCGAAGCUUCAGCUGCUCCAGCUCCACUAGCCUAUGCCUGAUCCUCUAGCCAUCCCACCAUAGUGUUAAACUCGUCUAUUGUCCACCGCC
This 489-nucleotide long non-coding RNA is filed under the name Vigna radiata. Its description in RNAcentral is "long non-coding RNA (VRAD_LNC015892)". The record is from RNAcentral. Lineage: Eukaryota; Viridiplantae; Streptophyta; Magnoliopsida; Fabales; Fabaceae.